Nomascus leucogenys (northern white-cheeked gibbon) is the source of this 107-nucleotide small nuclear RNA. Lineage: Eukaryota; Metazoa; Chordata; Mammalia; Primates; Hylobatidae. The record is from Ensembl.
GUGCUUGCUUUGGCAGCACAUGUAUUAAAAUUGGAACGACACAGAGAAGAUAAGCAUGGCUCCUGUGCAAGGAUGACACGCAAAUUCAUGAAGCCUUCCACAUUUUU